AUGAAGAGGCGAUGUUCAAACGCGCAGAAUGCUUGCUUUAAGAAACGUGUGAUCAGAGGAAGGAUGCUAAAUCCCGGUUCCGCUGCUUUGGGUACCAAAAUCUUGCGAAGCGACACCAGCUUGACUCUGCUGCUGGAAUGUGAUGUGAAGUUCUGCUCACUGCACUCUCAGCACAAGUCCUGAAUUAGAGAAAGCCCUAAGAAGUACACCUAAAAUGAUUAGAGAAAUGAGGGAAGGAGAAAUUUACUUGGCCUUCAUCUCUCUGGCCACACCCAGUGAUCAAACCCAGGCCCCGGCAGUGGAAGCAUGGAGUCCUAACUAUUGGACCACCAGGGAAUUCCCCCUUUGCAUUGCUUUAACCAAUCCUAACAAACUCAUUAAUCCCAAAGUUAAUAUUUAUUAACUCAAGAGGGAUUUGGACAAAUGUAUGAAUGAUCACUAUUACUUAAAAGAAGCUAUUACAUACCUCAUCUUCAAUGUUGAUGACAAUAAGCACUAUUAUGUUCUAUCUUUGUUAGAAUCCCUGCUAUGAUACUUACAAGAUGCAAGAUAGACAAGUCAUUUAAGCUCUCAAAUUCUCAGAUUUCUCAUCUAUAAGCAAGGGACCAUAACAUUAUUAGCUGUCUCAUAAGAUUGUAGUGAGGAUCGUGUGAGAUAUUUACAUAAAACACAUAGUAUAUUAUAACAGUUUCUUUUUUCUAGGUUCACUUUACCAAUAGAACACUGAGCUGAGUGAACCAUGAAUUAUCAGCAUAGCAGUUCUUAAAUUCCUCUGUACUAUCAUGCUACCAGCACUAAUAAACAUUUUCCUCUGUGCUGCUCUUGAAGUUACAUCCUUAUGGACUCACCCCAUGUUUCUGCCUCUCCUAACUCUUGUGUUUUCACUAUAUGAUCCAGUAACUUGAUUCCAAUUCUUGCUUACUGUCUCUAAUGCAAUCCCAGCUUUUGACCUCUGUGUUUCUAGUAUGUUUACCUGAUAUCAUGAAAUCCAUUUAAAUAUCUGUUCCAAAUCCUUCUUAAAAAAUAUAUCUUAGAUGUUUUGCUUUGUGUAAGCAACACAGGUCUGUUAAAAGUCCUGAAGAGUUUUUAUUAGAGUAGUAUGUAAAAGAUACAGAUUGCUGAAUUUUGCUUAGUUUACCUUGGCCAAAGGAAAGUAAAUAAAACAUCACAUAAAAUUAUUAAACCUGUUAUGUCCAGUUAGAAAAUAUAAGGUUGAGGAAGAGUUUUUAGUCUUCUUUAGUAUUACAUUGGAAAGUCUCCUCUUUAUAGGUAAACAUGGAAACAUGCCAUAUGCCUUUUGGGCAAGCUUGUCUUACAAUAAUUAUUUUCCUCUUCUUGCAGUAUGUGAGAGAAAAUGAUGAAAUAGGGCCUUUUCAAGCAAAAUCCAAAUUCCUAAAAGGAAAACCUAGGCAACUAUCGCGUUACCUCUAAGCAGGCUAUACCUGUGAGAGAAAAAAAAAACAAUGUUAAUGGCAUUUCAGUAAAGCCUGUUAAAGGAAUUACAGUAUCAAGAUAGAUUAAAACUCCAGGAGAAAAGAUAAAUUCCAAAACGGUUUAGAUUCUGUAUUUCCUUAAACAGAAUAAUAUAGAAACAUUUGGACCAAAAUCUGUGUCUAAAACGAAGGUUGGAAUGAAAUGAUAAAGAAUCAAGUUGGGCAUCUACCAAAGUCUAUAUUUGUUUACCUUAAUUUUUGCUUCAAUUUUGCUUCAAAUCUUCAUCACUAUACAUGGCAAAGUGUGGUUGUUACAGGUUUAUGGUUUUUUGU
This is a long non-coding RNA of Balaenoptera acutorostrata (minke whale), 1766 nucleotides long. RefSeq lists it as uncharacterized. NCBI's taxonomy places the organism in Eukaryota, Metazoa, Chordata, Mammalia, Artiodactyla, Balaenopteridae. The transcript has 3 exons. The record is from RefSeq and is a predicted model, not a curated record.